UGUACCAGUUGUGAUGCCAAUUGCAUUGCUGGGUAGCUAUGUUCGGAAGGGAUAACCGCUGAAAGCAUCUAAGUGGGAAGCCCCUCCUAAGAUAAGAUCUCCCUAGAGCUUUAAGCUCUCUAAAGAUCCGUUGUAGACGACGACGUUGAUAGGCUCCAUGUGGAAGCGUAGUAAUAUGCGUAGCUAAGGAGUACUAAUUGAUCGUGAGACUUGAUCAU
This 218-nucleotide ribosomal RNA is filed under the name Dichelobacter nodosus. RNAcentral's name for it is "partial 23S ribosomal RNA". It matches the Rfam family "Bacterial large subunit ribosomal RNA", at positions 2713 to 2925 of the family's 2925-position model. The record is from RNAcentral. Lineage: Bacteria; Pseudomonadati; Pseudomonadota; Gammaproteobacteria; Cardiobacteriales; Cardiobacteriaceae.